RNAcentral lists this ribosomal RNA (286 nucleotides) under uncultured bacterium. RNAcentral describes it as "partial 16S ribosomal RNA". It matches the Rfam family "Bacterial small subunit ribosomal RNA", at positions 45 to 334 of the family's 1533-position model. The record is from RNAcentral.
AUGCUUUACACAUGCAAGUCGAGCGGCAGCGCGGGGCAACCUGGCGGCGAGCGGCGAACGGGUGAGUAAUGCAUCGGAACAUGUCCAUUCGUGGGGGAUAGCCCGGCGAAAGCCGGAUUAAUACCGCAUACGCCCUUCGGGGGAAAGCGGGGGACCGAAAGGCCUCGCGCGAAUGGGUUGGCCGAUGCCCGAUUAGCUAGUUGGUGAGGUAAAGGCUUACCAAGGCGAUGAUCGGUAGCUGGUCUGAGAGGAUGAUCAGCCACACUGGGACUGAGACACGGCCCAG